CACCAACCCAGUGAUAAAGCUCAUGGUUUAACCUCAAACUUUCUUUCUCUCUACCUUUCUCUUCCUCUAUUUUACUCCAGUUUCUGUAACAAAAAAAUGAGCUCAACCAUCACCCAGCUGACUCUCUGGUGCCAAUCUUUGCUUCAUUUAGAUUCGAUAUGAGGAGUGAAUACUGGAAAAUCAUACAGAGAUCAGUUUCUAAUUCGUUGUUGCUUGUGAUGGUAGUAGAGGAACAGAGCAAGUGAAAGCAGUAAGGAGUGAAGAUUGUGAUCGAUCUUAUAUAUGUUCUUCUCGCUUGUCUCCGAUUCCCUCCCUGGUGACAGUGAGCCUAUCGAUAUGAGGGAACCAUCUCAUUUCAUGUCAAAGAACGACAUCCGAUCCAGUCACCCGGCGAAGAAAACGACAAAGAGUCACCUGAGAAGAGGAUGAGCUUCUUCGAGAUAUAUCUUCUUCAUCAACAAGUCUUGGCCCAAGAACAUAUGCGCUUUGGAACAAGGCCUCUCAGGUUUUCUUUUUUGAAAACCCAUUUUUUCAAUUUUUUUUAUUUUAAAGCUAAGUUCCAAAUAUUUUCACAAAUAUAUAUAUUACCAUACACAAUAUUUUUAAAUUUAAAUUUAAAAUUUUAUUAUUUUCACAAAUAAAAAUGAAAACCAC
Long non-coding RNA from Brassica napus (rape), 654 nucleotides. RefSeq lists it as uncharacterized. The record is from RefSeq and is a predicted model, not a curated record. NCBI's taxonomy places the organism in Eukaryota, Viridiplantae, Streptophyta, Magnoliopsida, Brassicales, Brassicaceae. The transcript is spliced from 3 exons.